This 433-nucleotide ribosomal RNA is filed under the name uncultured bacterium. RNAcentral's name for it is "partial 16S ribosomal RNA". It matches the Rfam family "Bacterial small subunit ribosomal RNA", at positions 29 to 507 of the family's 1533-position model. The record is from RNAcentral.
AACGAACGCUGGCGGCAUGCCUAACACAUGCAAGUCGAACGAGACCUUCGGGUCUAGUGGCGCACGGGUGCGUAACGCGUGGGAACCUGCCCUUAGGUUCGGAAUAACUCCCCGAAAGGGGUGCUAAUACCGGAUAAUGUCUUCGGACCAAAGAUUUAUCGCCUUUGGAUGGGCCCGCGUUGGAUUAGCUAGUUGGUAGGGUAAAAGCCUACCAAGGCGACGAUCCAUAGCUGGUCUGAGAGGAUGAUCAGCCACACUGGGACUGAGACACGGCCCAGACUCCUACGGGAGGCAGCAGUGGGGAAUAUUGGACAAUGGGCGAAAGCCUGAUCCAGCAAUGCCGCGUGAGUGAGGAAGGCCUUAGGGUUGUAAAGCUCUUUUACCCGGGAUGAUAAUGACAGUACCGGGAGAAUAAGCUCCGGCUAACUCCGUG